GAAAGUGGCUACAGCGUGAGUGAUACUAACAAGUUGUACGCAGCAAAGACGACACAGAGCUUGCUCUACCGUCUUUGUUGAGUAGCGAACGGGUGAGUAACGCGUGGGUAACCUGCCUUAUAGCGGGGGAUAACUAUUGGAAACGAUAGCUAAUACCGCAUAACAAUAGAGAUUGCAUAAUCUUUAUUUGAAAGUGCCAACUGGUACACUAUGAGAUGGACCCGCGUUGUAUUAGCUAGUUGGUAGUGUAAUGGACUACCAAGGCGAUGAUACAUAGCCGACCUGAGAGGGUGAUCGGCCACAUUGGGACUGAGACACGGCCCAAACUCCUACGGGAGGCAGCAGUAGGGAAUCUUCGGCAAUGGACGAAAGUCUGACCGAGCAACGCCGCGUGAGUGAAGAAGGUUUUCGGAUCGUAAAACUCUGUUGUUAGAGAAGAAUGUUGAUUAGAGUGGAAAAUUAAUCAAGUGACGGUAUCUAACCAGAAAGGGACGGCUAACUACGUGCCAGCAGCCGCGGUAAUACGUAGGUCCCGAGCGUUGUCCGGAUUUAUUGGGCGUAAAGCGAGCGCAGGUGGUUUAAUAAGUCUGAUGUAAAAGGCAGUGGCUCAACCAUUGUGUGCAUUGGAAACUGUUAGACUUGAGUGCAGUAGAGGAGAGUGGAAUUCCAUGUGUAGCGGUGAAAUGCGUAGAUAUAUGGAGGAACACCGGUGGCGAAAGCGGCUCUCUGGACUGUCACUGACACUGAGGCUCGAAAGCGUGGGUAGCAAACAGGAUUAGAUACCCUGGUAGUCCACGCCGUAAACGAUGAGUGCUAGUUGUUUGGGGCUAUCCAGCCCUAAGUGACGCAGCAAACGCAUUAAGCACUCCGCCUGGGGAGUACGACCGCAAGGUUG
Molecule: ribosomal RNA, 895 nt
Filed under: uncultured anaerobic bacterium
Lineage: Bacteria
Description: bacterial SSU rRNA
Rfam family: Bacterial small subunit ribosomal RNA
Source: RNAcentral